Molecule: ribosomal RNA, 1376 nt
Filed under: metagenome
Description: bacterial LSU rRNA
Rfam family: Bacterial large subunit ribosomal RNA
Source: RNAcentral
UGAGUCAAAUGCUUGCCUCGCAAAUUCAAGCUGUGAGCGAUCCUGGUUUCGGCCAGGAGUAGAUCAGAGGCGCGUUUGCCGAGAAAGAACCCCUAAACGUUGAAGCCAAUCGACCGUACCAAAACCGACACAGGUGCGCGGGGUGAAUAACCUAAGGCGCUCGAGAUAACCCUCGUUAAGGAACUCUGCAAAAUUGCCCCGUAACUUCGGGAUAAGGGGUGCCACCUUCGGGUGGUCACAGUAAAGAGCUUCAGGCGACUGUUUACCAAAAACACAGGUCUCUGCAAACACGUAAGUGGAAGUAUAGGGACUGAAACCUGCCCAGUGCCGGAAGGUCAAGAGGAGGAGUUAGCCGCAAGGCGAAGCUUCGAAUCCAAGCCCCGGUAAACGGCGGCCGUAACUAUAACGGUCCUAAGGUAGCGAAAUUCCUUGUCGGGUAAGUUCCGACCCGCAUGAAUGGUCCAACGAUCUGAAGGCUGUCUCAACGAGGGGCUCGGUGAAAUUGUAUGAUUGGUGAAGAUACCGAUUACCAACAGCAGGACAGAAAGACCCCGUGGACCUUUACUACAACUUGACAUUGAGAUUUGAUUUACCACGCGCAGGAUAGGUGGGAGGCUUUGAAUCUGGGACUCCGGUCUCGGUGGAGCCAUCCUUGAGAUACCACCCUUGGUGAAUUGGGUUUCUAACUUACUGGCCGCAAUCGGUCAGGAGGACAUUGUUUGGUGGGUAGUUUGACUGGGGCGGUCGCCUCCUAAAGAGUAACGGAGGCGCACAAAGGUUCCCUCAGCAUGGUUGGAAAUCAUGCGUCGAGCGCAAAGGUAUAAGGGAGCUUGACUGUAAGGCAAACAAGCCGAGCAGGUGCGAAAGCAGGUCUUAGUGAUCCGGUGGUUGUGUGUGGAAACGCCAUCGCUCAACGGAUAAAAGGUACCCCGGGGAUAACAGGCUGAUCUUCCCCAAGAGUUCACAUCGACGGGAAGGUUUGGCACCUCGAUGUCGGCUCAUCGCAUCCUGGGGCUGUAGAAGGUCCCAAGGGUUGGUCUGUUCGCCCAUUAAAGCGGUACGUGAGCUGGGUUCAAUACGUCGUGAGACAGUAUGGUCCCUAUCCGCUGUUGGCGUUCGAGAACUUGAGAGGAUCUGCUUCUAGUACGAGAGGACCGAAGUGGGCGAACCGCUAGUGUACCAGUUAUCACGCCAGUGGUAUAAGCUGGGUAGCUAUGUUCGGGACGGAUAACCGCUGAAAGCAUCUAAGCGGGAAACCAGCCUCGAGAUGAGGUUCUCCAUUUGGACCGUGGUAGACUACCACGUUGAUAGGCUAUAGGUGUAAGUGCAGUAAUGCAUUCAGCCAAGUAGUACUAAUCGUCCAAUCGCCUUGACCU